AAAAAUUAAAACAUUAACCACGCGAGCAUAUUAUGAUAUUCACAAUUCUAUAUUAUAUAUAGAGUAUAGAAUAUAUAGUAUAUAUUUUAUAUCAAACAUAAAUAUCUGUGAUAAUAUUAUAAAUGAAAAAAGAACAAUUAUUACAAAAUUUUAUUACCACAUUCAACUUCUUGGUAUAGACGGCGUACCACAAAUAUAAAAAUGUAGUACCUGGUAUCAACCAGACUGUUAGGCCAAUCAGAAUAUGUAGAUAGUGUUGUGCACGGUGUAUAGGAAAUUUCAAAUUUUUAAACCCAGCCUUAUUAUUUAUAAUUUAGUGAUGUCUCACGCACAGUGCGUUGUCCCUAUAAAUAAAGAAAAAAGAAAGGUUUGUGCAUACCCACUACCUUAUUUCUAUUUAAUUUCUAUACUACACACUAUUAUAGUAAUUUAAUAAGUUAAAAUAGUUGACAAUUUGAUAUUUAAUUUUGUUUUAACUUUAAACCUUUAUACCGUUUUCAAAUAUGGAAGUACUGUAAGUAUUAUUUAUUAUUUAACCACUCAAAUUGACAAUACUUAAAUUAUAAAAUCAUUAUUUAAGAGCUAGACGCUCAAUUUAUGAAAAAAUUGAUUGUCUCUAUAUCAAAAACCAUUCAUAAUACUGAAUGACUGAUUAUUGGUUGUGUAAACACAAGAAGUUUGAUUUUUAAAUUGUUUGACAAUAAAAUGCGUAGAUAAUGAUCCUUUAAGAUGUUUUAAAAUAAUUGUAUGCAUUGAUUUUAUGUGAUUUUUUUCCCCUAUACUCUUAUUUCAAAUUUUUCAAAUACUUUUUAAUACCAAUGUAUUAAUUAUAACUAAUAGUUAAUAUUGUAUAGAAAGCCACAGCCUAUGCAGAUUUAUUUAUAGGAGAAAAUAUUGAAGUUAAAUGUAUGUUUUAGGUAGGUAUGUUUCCAAAAGCAAUCGUGUAAAACUUUAUAUUACCUAUAUUUAAAAUGCCGAAAAUGGUUUCAAAUAAUUUUUUUGUUAAAAAAAUAAAAGAAAGUUAUAUAUGAAUUUACAUAAUAAUAUAUAAACUAAAGAAAAUUAAAAUACUGAAUCAUUAGCAUAUUCAGUAAUUUUUGUUUCUAUGUUAACUUGUCUUCAAAACCCUGAUAAACUAAAAAUAUUGCAGGUAUACCUAUGUAGAUAUUGGUAAUUGUAAGCCAUAAUAUAAAUUGAAAUACAAUUUUUACUGAUGAAUAUAUGUAUGAACCAAAAUCUGUUUAAUAUCGACCAAAAAUCGUAUAUAUGCCAAUAUUAAGGUAUGUGAUUAUGGGAUAUUGUUUUUUUUUUUUUAAACCUAUAUUAGACACAAUAUUUUUAAAACAAUUUUUUUGCUUUAAUAAUUCAAAUCAAAGAAUAAUUGUAAAUAAUAAAAGUUUAAAAAAAAAACAUUAACAAUAUUGGUAAAUAUUGAGUAUGUGUUUUUAAUAAAUCAAUUAAUUUCAAUAACUGCUCACAGUUUUUGAUUUCAAAUAUCAGAUCGGUUAUCAGUUAUAUAUUUGUAGUAAAUAUUUCAAUAUUUGAUAUCAGAAAACAGUCAUAUCGGGCUCACUAUUAAAAAUUGUAUUUAUUUAUAUGAGGUAUUCCUAGACAGUUCAAUAAACAGAAUAACUUUAGUUCUGUACAAUAUUUAAACACUUUAUCAUUUUUUAUAAGUAAAGCCCUGCAUUUUGAUUCUCAUAUUUUAUAUUUUUGUUUAAACUAUUAAAAAAAAUUGUUUUUACAAAAUUUAAGAUACCUAGCCAUUUUAUAAAUAGAUUUAUAUUAUAAAUUAUAUUAUUAAUUAAUUAUUUUAUAUUAAUGUAUUUAUAAAAGGCUGGGUAUCUUAGAUUUUGUAAAAACAAUUUUUUUUUUUUAUAGUUUAAACAAAAAUAUAAAAUAUGAGAAUCAAAAUGCAGAGCUUUAGUUAUAAGUAAUAAGUUAUAAACAUAUUGAACAAAAAGGCUUUUGUCAAAUAUUUUUGAAAUAUAACUCAUGCACCUAUUUGUUUAACAUACAUUAUAUUAUUUAUUAUAAAAAUAAUUUGUCCAAGGUCUCUGCGAUUGUACAUUGACAAUUUAACAAAAAAAUUGGAGUUAUACUUGUUAAAAUGUCUUGACAGACCAAACCAUUAUAGCAAUUAUUUUUAUAAUAAUUUGUACGUGGUGCCACAUUCCGAGUUGGAAGUAAGAGAUCAAUCAAUAUUAUUUAUUGAAUUGUAUAAUAUUAUUUUUAAAUUUAUAUUUUAGAAAGGCCAUGAGACUUGCUAGAAUAAAAAUCAAUUGGAUCAGUAUUUAUUUCAAUCUGAAGAUGUAGUUCUUCCAAACAUUCCUACAACUGCUAAUAAUAGUAAUAAAUAUAAUAAGCUUAAAUUAUUCUAUAAUCAAUGAAUAAGCCAUUUCUAAAAUUUACAUUUCACAUUAUACCCUAUUUCAAAAGAGAAUAUACCGCUUUCUUAAUCAAUUUUUAUUUGGUCACGAAAGAGGUAUAUUCUCUUUUAAAACAGGGUAUAGGUAUAAAUUGAUAUUAAUUUAUUAAACGUGUAUUUUAAGUACACUAAAUGUUGAUAUUUCUUUUAAUUUCUAGCCAGAUGAAAAUAAAACUGAUGUGUUAGAAACGAUAAAACAAAUUCCAAAUUAUAUGAAAUCCACAAUUGGUCUUACUAAGUCUCAGCGUAAAAAAUACCGCAAACAAGCAUAUUAGAAUUUCAGUAAUGUUGAUUUGUCUUUUAAUCAAGAUGUAACUAUAAAUGAAGUAAGUAUACACCCUCAAAUAUUAUGCUAACAUUUUGAUUCAUGUUUUGAAAUAAAGUAGCUUUUAACAUUUUAUCAUAAAAUGUUUAUUAAACUAUGAUACAAUGUUCAACUUUUUUAGUUUUUACUAUUUAGUUAACCUUAUAAAAACCUCAUAAUGAAAUUUAUGACAAUUGUUUUCAUUACCACUAGUAAAUUAUACUAGUAAAUUAUUUUGAAACACAUUUUAAUUCAAAUGUGAACUGUGUACUCAAUGUAAACAACUAAAUUUAAGAUAACAUAUAUAUUUACUAGCUAUAGUAGAUAAUAAAAUAAUCUCGCAUUUCAUAAUAUGAAUGUAUAUAAUACAAUAAAACUAAAUUAAAUUAAAUUAAACAUAAAUUUGUACAAACUAAUGGAAUUAAAAUAAUUAGAUUUUAAAAAUGAAUUAUUAAUUUAACAGUAUUGAAGCAUUAACAAAAUGAAUAUCUUAUUAUGCUAUAAUGGUUCUUUACAGAAAUAAUAUUAAUAUAAUUAUGUAUUAUUUGAUAUAUAUAUAUAUUUUUUUUUUACACCCUUUCAUAAAAAAUUGAACAGUCAAACCUAUUUAUAUGUUAAAUUUAUUACUAUUAGAAUACACAUGUAGAACAUAGGUAUUUAUUUAUUUUAUAUUUUCAAUUAUUAUACAAAUUUAUCUCUUUGCCAUGACAAUGAAAAAGUUUUGUAUGUUUUACGCACAUACAUUGCAGAAUGAAGGAAAAGAAGACAUUCUUCUUGCCUUGGUAGAUUUGACCAGUUAAAUUUUCCUUUGACAGGGUUAAAUUCUUAAAAAGAAAUUGUUUCUCUUUAAUACCUACCAUUUUACCUAAUUUAUAUCUAUUUAUAUCUAAUUGAUUUUACUAAGCUCAUUGUUAUCCAUGGUUUAAUUUGUCUUCUAUUUGAUGGGAAAUAAUUAUCCUUCAUUCUUAAAGAAUUCAGAAAUAUCAAAUUCAUUUAAAACUGAAAACCAAUUUUGUUCUGUUAAAAAUGAGAUUAGUAAUCUUUUGUUAAUUAAAGGUUUUUUAUAAUAAUAAAUUUUACUGUACUAUAAUUUUUCUUUUAUGCUUUUCUGUUUAACAAUUAAUAUUAUACUAUAACGAUAAUUGUUAUGAGAUUGAUAUGCAACAAGAAUUAAUUUUUUCAAAUCAGUACCUAUUGUUUCUAUAAAUAUAUGAUCAAUAGUGGAGCUGCAGGAACUGGUGUUUCUAGUGAUAUCAUUAAUUAAUGAAUUUAUCAUUAUUAUUAAUAAUUAAAUUCAAACAUUCCUAUUAAGUAUCAUCUUUACUACUUAACAAUGUAUUAAUAUUAUAUAUUCUGUUACUAUAAUUUUAUUUACUGAAAAAUAUUUGAUAAUAUUUUUGUUAAUUGGGUUUACAAUUCUAAAAAAUCAUUAUUAUGACCUCUGUAAAGUGCUAUUAUUACACAAAUAGUCUCUUUAAAAUUAAUGUUAAAUUAUAAACAAUUACAGUUAUCAAUAACUAUCUUAUUCACAUGGUUAACUUUAUGCUUAGUAUUAACAUACACGACUAAACUACUAUUUUGGUUAAAAUUAUUACUAUAAGUUUUAUAUAAUUUGAAACUUUAAAUAUACUAAAUAUUAAUAUUAGUUAGACAACAUCGGAGCCAGCAUUCAGAUAAGACUAUACAAUCAAUAUAUUAUUAUAUAAUAUUAUCUAACAUAGGUAACCAAAUGAUUGAUUCAAUUUUUUUUUUGAAUUCAUCUUAUGUUAACAUGGAUAAUUGUAAAGCCUUUAUUAUUAAUUAUUAAUGUUUUAAGAGUGUUUAUAUCUAGAAAAGUAUUAUCAUUGAAAUUUUCAUGAUUAUCAAUUAAAUCAUUAAUAGUAUUAUUAAUUUAUAUAAUUUAUAAUUUAACGAUAAUUUUUGUGGUGCCUAUUAUAAAUUAUCCCAAAUUUUUUCAUUCCUAAUUCAAUAAACUCUGGAUUGUUUGUUCUUGUGUACAAUGAUAUCUGAAUUAUUUGUCUCCACAAAUUUAAAUCUUUUAUCAUUUGAUAUUUGUUUUGAUUUACCAAAUAGAACUCUUUCAUAUUUUGUCAACUGGUCAUUGUAUGUCUUUAUAUGUGUAUAUAAUUUGUGUAAAACCAUUAUUAAUAAUUUUAAGUUAUAUAUAAUUGUCGAAAAAAAAAAUAUUUAUUGUUUUGUUAUAGGUGGAAUAAAAAUUAAUUUUAUCGAAAGAAGCAGACAAACAUUUAGAAAAUGUUACUGGUACUUAGCUGGUUAAAAUUAAAGAAAGAAUGAAAUCUUUAAAUACAACUUGUAAUUUAUUAUUAUUAUAUGUAAUCAUAAUGUUAUUAUAUAUAAUCACAUUUAUUACAAACAUUUUUUAAAUUUUAAUAUCAAUGUUGAAUGAUUUUUUUUAAUAAAAAGGAGAGACAUUUUUUUAUUUUAUUCAUAAAUUGUAUUAUAUUAUAGGUUAGUAAUUAUACCUAUAUUAUAAAUUGUUAUAAUAUUUUAACAUUUUUUUGUAAAGGUAUGACUUUAUUAAUCUUAACUAUAAAAUAUUAAUGUUAAAUAAUUUUCCAAUAAAAAGGAC
RNAcentral lists this long non-coding RNA (5322 nucleotides) under Cinara cedri. The record is from RNAcentral. Lineage: Eukaryota; Metazoa; Arthropoda; Insecta; Hemiptera; Aphididae.